RNAcentral lists this ribosomal RNA (293 nucleotides) under uncultured bacterium. RNAcentral's name for it is "partial 16S ribosomal RNA". It matches the Rfam family "Bacterial small subunit ribosomal RNA", at positions 505 to 796 of the family's 1533-position model. The record is from RNAcentral.
GUGUCAGCCGCCGCGGUAAUACGUAGGGUGCGAGCGUUGUCCGGAAUUAUUGGGCGUAAAGAGCUCGUAGGCGGUGUGUCACGUCGAUCGUGAAAACUUUCAGCUUAACUGGGAGCUUGCGGUCGAUACGGGCAUCACUGGAGUUCGGCAGGGGAGACUGGAAUUCAAGGUGUAGCGGUGAAAUGCGCAGAUAUCUUGAGGAACACCGGUGGCGAAGGCGGGUCUCUGGGCCGAUACUGACGCUGAGGAGCGAAAGCGUGGGGAGCGAACAGGAUUAGAAACCCGAGUAGUCC